RNAcentral lists this ribosomal RNA (368 nucleotides) under uncultured organism. RNAcentral describes it as "bacterial SSU rRNA". It matches the Rfam family "Bacterial small subunit ribosomal RNA", at positions 526 to 896 of the family's 1533-position model. The record is from RNAcentral.
CGGAGGGUGCAAGCGUUAUCCGGAUUCACUGGGUUUAAAGGGUGCGUAGGUGGGUAGGUAAGUCCGUGGUGAAAUCCUGCAGCUUAACUGCAGAACUGCCGUGGAUACUAUCUCUCUUGAAUACCGUGGAGGUCAGCGGAAUAUGUCAUGUAGCGGUGAAAUGCUUAGAUAUGACAUAGAACACCAAUUGCGAAGGCAGCUGGCUACACGAAUAUUGACACUGAGGCACGAAAGCGUGGGGAUCAAACAGGAUUAGAUACCCUGGUAGUCCACGCCCUAAACUAUGGAUACUCGACAUACGCGAUACACUGUGUGUGUCUGAGCGAAAGCAUUAAGUAUCCCAUCUGGGAAGUACGAUCGCAAGAUUG